CGUUCCCGGGCCUUGUACACACCGCCCGUCACACCAUGGGAGUUGGUUUUACCUGAAGACGGUGCGCUAACCCGCAAGGGGGGAAACUGCCAAAGUUGUGGUUGGUGAUUGGGGUG
This 116-nucleotide ribosomal RNA is filed under the name uncultured bacterium. RNAcentral describes it as "partial 16S ribosomal RNA". It matches the Rfam family "Bacterial small subunit ribosomal RNA", at positions 1369 to 1482 of the family's 1533-position model. The record is from RNAcentral.